Long non-coding RNA from Budorcas taxicolor (takin), 511 nucleotides. RefSeq lists it as uncharacterized. The record is from RefSeq and is a predicted model, not a curated record. The transcript has 3 exons. Lineage: Eukaryota; Metazoa; Chordata; Mammalia; Artiodactyla; Bovidae.
AAUUGGAGGCCCGCAGAACAGCUGAGCUGUGGCUGGAGUACUCAGAUGAAACUUCCGAAAAAGCCCAAGGAAGACAAAUAGGACCAGCCAAUCUGACUCACAGCAUGUGACUUGCAAUUUGGACGCAUGGGCCCCUCCAAGGUGGCAAAGGGCAUUCUCAACUCCAGUUUCAGCCCCUUCUGAAGACAUCUGCAAACCCCAGUAUCCAAAUAUUCAGACACCCAGAGAGAAUGGAGCACCCUGACUCUGUGAGGAUGUUUAGUGGCUCAGCUGCAGCCCUAGGAGCAAAGGUGAUUGCACAACAGGAACCGCUGGACUGUCUGGAAAUGAUUCUCGACCUAGCAACUGCUGUUUCUGCUCAAGACCCAGGGAUCCACCUACCUGCUCACCUCUGCCACUCAUGUUCUAUGCAGGUCCUGGGUGAAAGGUUCCAAGACAAGCGCAGAACAGAGGACCCAUAGAAGAUAAGACUGCCUGGAUCUGUAUGUACCAUGAUACCCGUGUGUGUGUG